Schistosoma haematobium is the source of this 45-nucleotide non-coding RNA. NCBI's taxonomy places the organism in Eukaryota, Metazoa, Platyhelminthes, Trematoda, Strigeidida, Schistosomatidae. The record is from Rfam.
GUCCAUCUGACGAGUCCCAAAUAGAACGAGACGCGCGUCCUGGAU